Molecule: ribosomal RNA, 496 nt
Filed under: uncultured bacterium
Lineage: Bacteria
Description: partial 16S ribosomal RNA
Rfam family: Bacterial small subunit ribosomal RNA
Source: RNAcentral
GAUGAACGCUGGCGGCGUGCCUAAUACAUGCAAGUCGAGCGAACAGACGAGGAGCUUGCUCCUCUGACGUUAGCGGCGGACGGGUGAGUAACACGUGGAUAACCUACCUAUAAGACUGGGAUAACUUCGGGAAACCGGAGCUAAUACCGGAUAAUAUAUUGAACCGCAUGGUUCAAUAGUGAAAGACGGUUUUGCUGUCACUUAUAGAUGGAUCCGCGCCGCAUUAGCUAGUUGGUAAGGUAACGGCUUACCAAGGCAACGAUGCGUAGCCGACCUGAGAGGGUGAUCGGCCACACUGGAACUGAGACACGGCCCAGACUCCUACGGGAGGCAGCAGUAGGGAAUCUUCCGAAAUGGGGGAAAGCCUGACGGAGCAACGCCGGGGGAGUGAUGAAGGUUUUCGGAUCGUAAAACUCUUUUAUUAGGGAAAAACAAAUGGGAAAGUAACUAUGCACGUUUGGACGGUACCUAAUCAGAAAGCCACGGCUAACUACGU